AUGGAAGUGGACUGCUCGAAGUUGGUGACACUCUGGAAUUCUCGUCACAAUUCUCGUUCUAUUGUGGCUUACCUAUUAGAUGAGAUAGGAGAGCUCAGUACUUACUUUACAUCCUUUGAUAUUUGUCAUGUAAGUAGAUCAGCUAAUACCCCGGCGCAUCUAUGUGCUAAACGUGCUUGUGCACUGGAUGUUACGGAUAGCUGGCUAGAUGAAACUCCAAGCUUCUUGGUAACCAGCCUCUUGGCUGAUUGUUCCAAGAAUGCUUUCAUAUGA
Molecule: ribosomal RNA, 273 nt
Filed under: Triticum aestivum (bread wheat)
Lineage: Eukaryota; Viridiplantae; Streptophyta; Magnoliopsida; Poales; Poaceae
Description: partial small subunit ribosomal RNA
Source: RNAcentral